UAAUACAGAGGGUGCAAGCGUUAAUCGGAGUAACUGGGCGUAAAGGGCGCGUAGGCGGUUAAAUGCGUGUGAUGUGAAAGCCCCGGGCUUAACCUGGGAAGUGCAUUGCAAACGGUUUAGCUAGAGAGCAGGAGAGGGCGAUGGAAUUUCCGGUGUAGCGGUGAAAUGCGUAGAGAUCGGAAGGAACGUCGAUGGCGAAGGCAGUCGCCUGGCCUGCAACUGACGCUGAGGCGCGAAAGCGUGGGUAGCGAACAGGAUUAGAUACCCUGGUAGUCCACGCUGUAAACGAUGAGGACUAGAUGUUCAUUGGGGAACCAAGGAGUGUCGAAGCAAACGCGAUAAGUCUUCCGCCUGGGAAGUACGGCCGCAAGGUUG
RNAcentral lists this ribosomal RNA (375 nucleotides) under uncultured bacterium. RNAcentral's name for it is "bacterial SSU rRNA". It matches the Rfam family "Bacterial small subunit ribosomal RNA", at positions 521 to 896 of the family's 1533-position model. The record is from RNAcentral.